CGCGUAGGCGGAUGUUUAAGUCAGAGGUGAAAGCCCAGGGCUCAACCUUGGAACUGCCUUUGAUACUGAACAUCUUGAGUACGGGAGAGGUGAGUGGAACUCCGAGUGUAGAGGUGAAAUUCGUAGAUAUUCGGAAGAACACCAGUGGCGAAGGCGACUCACUGGCCCGUUACUGACGCUGAAGCGCGAAAGCGUGGGGAGCAAACAGGAUUAGAUACCCUGGUAGUCCACGCUGUAAACGAUGAGUGCUAGUUGUCGGCAUGCAUGCAUGUCGGUGACGCAGCUAACGCAUUAAGCACUCCGCCUGGGGAGUACGGUCGCAAGAUUAAA
Molecule: ribosomal RNA, 330 nt
Filed under: uncultured bacterium
Lineage: Bacteria
Description: bacterial SSU rRNA
Rfam family: Bacterial small subunit ribosomal RNA
Source: RNAcentral